Molecule: ribosomal RNA, 466 nt
Filed under: Vreelandella stevensii
Lineage: Bacteria; Pseudomonadati; Pseudomonadota; Gammaproteobacteria; Oceanospirillales; Halomonadaceae
Description: partial 16S ribosomal RNA
Rfam family: Bacterial small subunit ribosomal RNA
Source: RNAcentral
CCUACGGGCGGCAGCAGUGGGGAAUAUUGGACAAUGGGCGAAAGCCUGAUCCAGCCAUGCCGCGUGUGUGAAGAAGGCAUUCGGGUUGUAAAGCACUUUCAGUGGGGAAGAAAGCCUUGGGGCUAAUACCCUCGAGGAAGGACAUCACCCACAGAAGAAGCACCGGCUAACUCCGUGCCAGCAGCCGCGGUAAUACGGAGGGUGCGAGCGUUAAUCGGAAUUACUGGGCGUAAAGCGCGCGUAGGCGGUCUGAUAAGCCGGGUUGUGAAAGCCCCGGGCUCAACCUGGGAACGGCAUCCGGAACUGUCAGGCUAGAGUGCAGGAGAGGAAGGUAGAAUUCCCGGUGUAGCGGUGAAAUGCGUAGAGAUCGGGAGGAAUACCAGUGGCGAAGGCGGCCUUCUGGACUGACACUGACGCUGAGGUGCGAAAGCGUGGGUAGCAAACAGGAUUAGAUACCCUAGUAGUC